CCCUAUUAUUAUAUAAUAAUAAAUUAGUAAGAAGAUGAAAUUUAAUAAUUUUGGCGGUUAGGGAUUUUUUAGAGGAGCUUGAGUUUUAUAGAAUUUACUCUUUUUAUCUUAAUAAUAAUAUGACUUAUUCAUCUCCGUUAUCAAAGUGAAAUUUUAAAUAAGUACUUUUUAAAAUAUCAGGUCAAGAUGUAGUGUUUAUUGAAAAUUUGUUAGCUACAUUUAUGAAAUGAUUGGACUAUUUUAAGAAAUUUAAAGUGAGAAAUUGAAUUUAGAUGUAAUAGUAACUAGAAAGUUAUUAUGAAUGUAUUACCCUAAUGUA
RNAcentral lists this ribosomal RNA (319 nucleotides) under Pseudotrogulus funebris. Its description in RNAcentral is "partial 12S ribosomal RNA". Lineage: Eukaryota; Metazoa; Arthropoda; Arachnida; Opiliones; Gonyleptidae. The record is from RNAcentral.